Molecule: ribosomal RNA, 600 nt
Filed under: Bacillus licheniformis
Lineage: Bacteria; Bacillati; Bacillota; Bacilli; Caryophanales; Bacillaceae
Description: bacterial SSU rRNA
Rfam family: Bacterial small subunit ribosomal RNA
Source: RNAcentral
UCACCUUAGGUCAGCGGCGGACGGGUGAGUAACACGUGGGUAACCUGCCUGUAAGACUGGGAUAACUCCGGGAAACCGGGGCUAAUACCGGAUGCUUGAUUGAACCGCAUGGUUCAAUCAUAAAAGGGGGCUUUUAGCUACCACUUACAGAUGGACCCGCGGCGCAUUAGCUAGUUGGGGAGGUAACGGCUCACCAAGGCGACGAUGCGUACCCGACCUGAGAGGGUGAUCGGCCACCCUGGGACUGAAACACGGCCCAAACUCCUACGGGAGGCAGCAGUAGGGAAUCUUCCGCAAUGGACGAAAGUCUGACGGAGCAACGCCGCGUGAGUGAUGAAGGUUUUCGGAUCGUAAAACUCUGUUGUUAGGGAAAAACAAGUACCGUUCGAAUAGGGCGGUACCUUGACGGUACCUAACCAGAAAGCCACGGCUAACUACGUGCCAGCAGCCGCGGUAAUACGUAGGUGGCAAGCGUUGUCCGGAAUUAUUGGGCGUAAAGCGCGCGCAGGCGGUUUCUUAAGUCUGAUGUGAAAGCCCCCGGCUCAACCGGGGAGGGUCAUUGGAAACUGGGGAACUUGAGUGCAGAAGAGGAGAGUGGAA